GGACGGGUGAGUAAUGUCUGGGAAACUGCCUGAUGGAGGGGGAUAACUACUGGAAACGGUAGCUAAUACCGCAUAACGUCGCAAGACCAAAGAGGGGGACCUUCGGGCCUCUUGCCAUCAGAUGUGCCCAGAUGGGAUUAGCUAGUAGGUGGGGUAACGGCUCACCUAGGCGACGAUCCCUAGCUGGUCUGAGAGGAUGACCAGCCACACUGGAACUGAGACACGGCCCAGACUCCUACGGGAGGCAGCAUG
RNAcentral lists this ribosomal RNA (252 nucleotides) under uncultured bacterium. RNAcentral's name for it is "partial 16S ribosomal RNA". It matches the Rfam family "Bacterial small subunit ribosomal RNA", at positions 100 to 353 of the family's 1533-position model. The record is from RNAcentral.